RNAcentral lists this ribosomal RNA (734 nucleotides) under Bacillus pumilus. RNAcentral describes it as "bacterial SSU rRNA". It matches the Rfam family "Bacterial small subunit ribosomal RNA", at positions 76 to 795 of the family's 1533-position model. The record is from RNAcentral. Lineage: Bacteria; Bacillati; Bacillota; Bacilli; Caryophanales; Bacillaceae.
GAGCUUGCUCCCGGAUGUUAGCGGCGGACGGGUGAGUAACACGUGGGUAACCUGCCUGUAAGACUGGGAUAACUCCGGGAAACCGGAGCUAAUACCGGAUAGUUCCUUGAACCGCAUGGUUCAAGGAUGAAAGACGGUUUCGGCUGUCACUUACAGAUGGACCCGCGGCGCAUUAGCUAGUUGGUGAGGUAACGGCUCACCAAGGCGACGAUGCGUAGCCGACCUGAGAGGGUGAUCGGCCACACUGGGACUGAGACACGGCCCAGACUCCUACGGGAGGCAGCAGUAGGGAAUCUUCCGCAAUGGACGAAAGUCUGACGGAGCAACGCCGCGUGAGUGAUGAAGGUUUUCGGAUCGUAAAGCUCUGUUGUUAGGGAAGAACAAGUGCAAGAGUAACUGCUUGCACCUUGACGGUACCUAACCAGAAAGCCACGGCUAACUACGUGCCAGCAGCCGCGGUAAUACGUAGGUGGCAAGCGUUGUCCGGAAUUAUUGGGCGUAAAGGGCUCGCAGGCGGUUUCUUAAGUCUGAUGUGAAAGCCCCCGGCUCAACCGGGGAGGGUCAUUGGAAACUGGGAAACUUGAGUGCAGAAGAGGAGAGUGGAAUUCCACGUGUAGCGGUGAAAUGCGUAGAGAUGUGGAGGAACACCAGUGGCGAAGGCGACUCUCUGGUCUGUAACUGACGCUGAGGAGCGAAAGCGUGGGGAGCGAACAGGAUUAGAUACCCUGGUAGUC